RNAcentral lists this ribosomal RNA (498 nucleotides) under Staphylococcus aureus. Its description in RNAcentral is "partial 23S ribosomal RNA". It matches the Rfam family "Bacterial large subunit ribosomal RNA", at positions 2422 to 2925 of the family's 2925-position model. Lineage: Bacteria; Bacillati; Bacillota; Bacilli; Caryophanales; Staphylococcaceae. The record is from RNAcentral.
GGUGGUUCCGCAUGGAAGGGCCAUCGCUCAACGGAUAAAAGCUACCCCGGGGAUAACAGGCUUAUCUCCCCCAAGAGUUCACAUCGACGGGGAGGUUUGGCACCUCGAUGUCGGCUCAUCGCAUCCUGGGGCUGUAGUCGGUCCCAAGGGUUGGGCUGUUCGCCCAUUAAAGCGGUACGCGAGCUGGGUUCAGAACGUCGUGAGACAGUUCGGUCCCUAUCCGUCGUGGGCGUAGGAAAUUUGAGAGGAGCUGUCCUUAGUACGAGAGGACCGGGAUGGACAUACCUCUGGUGUACCAGUUGUCGUGCCAACGGCAUAGCUGGGUAGCUAUGUGUGGACGGGAUAAGUGCUGAAAGCAUCUAAGCAUGAAGCCCCCCUCAAGAUGAGAUUUCCCAACUUCGGUUAUAAGAUCCCUCAAAGAUGAUGAGGUUAAUAGGUUCGAGGUGGAAGCAUGGUGACAUGUGGAGCUGACGAAUACUAAUCGAUCGAAGACUUAAU